Oxyura jamaicensis (ruddy duck) is the source of this 1450-nucleotide long non-coding RNA. RefSeq lists it as uncharacterized. The transcript has 4 exons. Lineage: Eukaryota; Metazoa; Chordata; Aves; Anseriformes; Anatidae. The record is from RefSeq and is a predicted model, not a curated record.
UCUCCCAGAGCAGGUUUGUAUGUGUCACAUCUGUAGUGUUCCUAAUGAGUUGCUAAUGAGGCUUUGUAAAUGUGGAGGCACAGGCACUGAGGUGGGGGUGCUGGGAGGCUGAUGCACUAUCUUUUUUGGAGGUACCAUCUGUAAGAGUCUCCCUGCAUUUAACAAGCAUGUUUUCCAAGUAACUCUAAAGCCCUGAGCUUUGAGAGAGGUAUGAGACUGAGGAAGCUUCACUGGUGCUGAUGCCAUGAAUGGAGAAAGAUGCUGCUGGAUAAUUCAAGCAAGGGAGGAGUCUGAGCAGCGGCAAUAUAGACUGGCCAUUGUGCAUUCAGCCCUCACAUACAGAAAAUACUGAAUUCUAGCCAAGAGGGACAGGGUAUUUUGCUUCGUUUGUGAACAGAAGAGCGUUGCCUGGAGGACUUCCUCAUUAAUGCCAAUAAAAGCAGAAGCCAGACAAGCUUGCCUGACCGCAUUUCCCAGCUGUAAGGAGUGGAUUCCAUCUGACUCUUAAACAGAACCACAUUUCCAAAUGGAUCUAUAAAGGGCAUGAUGAGGUAGCUGGAGUGGAUUCCUUGCACUUAUUAGACCAUACUCUGCAGAGCAUAAGAGGCAUCCUGAAAUACAUGUCCAUCAGAGAUGUGAAUUCUGGCUGCUGUUUUUAGACUAUUUGUAUGUUUGUUCACAAGACCUAUUUGGAGCCCACUAAGCAGAGUCUGCAUUCGUCAAAGUCAUGCUUCUAUUGCUGUUUGUGCAAGAUUCUUGUAUCUACCUUUGCAUUGAACCAAAUCCUGAUUCUGAGAUGCCUACACUGAAAUUCGGAUAUGGGAUAUUUGUAAAUGGGAGAAGAAAGUUACGAGUCACGUGAAGAAUGUAUCGUAAACCACCUUCCACCACCGUUCUUGAUACUGGCACAUCUGAUACUUUACAGUUGAGAAGAAAUGAAAAAAGUAGAAAAACUGAUUGCCUUGAUGCAAAGCAUGGAGAACUGCAGCACAUACCACUGCAGGCACUGCCCGGCAAGAUCUGAGCUGAGAACACAACCUGCGUACUGGUGAUGUGCAUAUCUGUACAACUCCUCUGGAAGAAGUCUAGCUGCUGCUUGUUAAGCUGCUUUUUUUUUUUUUUUUUUUUUUUUUUUUUCCUGAUGCUCACUGGAAGGAAGCUGUAUAGUUUGGGUGCCUCAAGCUUAUCUAUUUACUUGCCAUCUUUUAUUAGAAGAGUGAAUCCAGGAUGUCCACUUUAGGACACAGGUCUUCUGGAAAGGAUAUACAGCUCUCCGUGUUAGUGAAUUUCAAGGAUCCUUGCUGUUGGCUGGCAGCACCUUUCACCACCUUUAUCAGUAACAGGUGAGGAAACUAAGGAAUGCAAAGAUCAAGUGAACUGUCAAGAACCAAACACAUUACAGCGGGGCUGAGGAACUCCAAAUACUCUCAUCCUUGGUCUGAAAACACAC